GGGGUGCCCGCGCGCAGGACGGGACGCCAGGGUUUGUGUGGGGGCAGCUCGGAGAGGGGUAGGGAGGAGGUCCCAGGGAAGAACCUGGUUGCCAAAGUCUCGGCCAGUUGGAGAAGAGAUGGGUCUCCCGAGGAUACCCAAGCCCAAGCUCUACACUGUCCCAAGGUGGUUUGUUUUUCUUCUUUCUUCUAUUGGUCUGGACCUUGUAUAUUCUGGGAGGAGGUGAUUAAGGCCAAAUUGCCUUAAGUGGCCAUCCAGCCAGAAGCUGGAAGAAGGGAAGGAUGAGAGGGAAUGAACUGUUGUGUUACGGCUAUUGAGAGAAACAGUGGCAAUACACAGCCAAAGCCCUGAGUUUCUAAUACGGCGCCACCUCUUAUGAGCUGUGAGAUCUUGGGCAAAGUAACUAACCUUUAAGUAUUUGUCUGUAGAAUUGAGAUUGAAAUACUUAUCUUUGCCAGAAUUGUUAUAAGAAUUAAAUGAGUUGAAAGUGUUUCAUCAAGUGUGCAAUGCUACUCAAGUAGGAGGGACUAAGCUACUUCCUUCUCUCACUGCUUGACUGAGCUUCUCUCCAGCCCCACCCCCUGAUGUUUACUGCUUAUGGAGAAAGAGAUUAAGUGAAGCAGGCCCACACAUUCAUGAAGGUGGAAGGAAGAUGUAGCAGGAGAUGGUGGAGAGGGAAACAGAGGAAGACAGGAUGACAGACGUGGGGAGGAAAGGCUGAGCGAGGCAAUGUCCUGACUCACUCUGGCGCUUCCCUCUUUCCCAUCUGGGCUCCAGAGUCUCUGCCCUCAUUCCCCUUCACCAGGUUGCUCAACCCUCCAUCAGACUGUUAGGUCAAGGGUGGACAAACAGACCAACCGGGAUCUGGAUGGCCCCUGGGCAGUACUGACUUCCCCUACCAUUCCCAUGGCAAGAAAAGGGAGUGAUUCCACUAGCAGACUCCCCUACCCUGCAGUGAGACAGCCUGUAGGAAGCCUCAACUCCCGACCCAUGGCCUGUGGUGAGAGGUGCUAACAACAUGACCUGCUUUCAUCUUGACCUUCCCAGCCCACCCAGAGAAAAGGGAAUCUUGGCUAAAAAAAGGCUGGAAGAGGGGAGAACCCUGGCACUGCGGGUGGGGCUGGGAGGAGCCCAGGCAACCUUACUGGUGAGAAUCUCAUGGCUCUUCAAGGUGAAUAUGAUGAUGAUUUCCCUGGGGUUUCUUUCAAUACUCAGAAGCCGCCCCGAGUUGGAAAGCACAUGCAUACUUGGGGAGGCCAGGGGAGGAAAAGGGGGGCGGCUCACUCUGACAGUAAAUGAAGAAAGUGGAAACAAAUUCAAGGAGCAGGCAGAGCUCCCGGUUUCACCAGAGCCCAACGGUUGGUAAUAAGGAUGAGAACAAUGUGCCUUCACUUCCUGGGAUCAGAACAGCACAUGGCCGCACAUGUACGGGUAUGCAUGUGCUUCCAUAAUCAUAUACUUUCCCAGCUUCUACUCUGCCUGUGGUCUAAUUUCAACUCCUUCAGCUGCUGUACCCACCCAUAAAAUUAUGAGUGUAAAAGCACUUUGCAAACUGACUGCUAAGCUGGAUGCGUAGGGGAAAGCAGAGAAAAGGUGAUUUACUGGGACACAGAGACACAGGCUGGAAGAGAUAGCAUGUGUUUCCUUAAAAUUUGAAGCAUUUGGCUGGGCACAGUGGCUCACACCUGUAAUCCCUGCACUUUGGGAGGUAAAGGCAAGAGGAUUUCCUGGGCCCAAGAGUUAGAGGCUGCAGUGAGCUAUGAUUGUGCCAUUGUACUCCAGCCUGGGAGACAGAAACCCCCUCUCUUAAAAAAAUAAAAAAAUAAAAAAUGGAACCAUUGCUCUGAGUUUCUAAUAGGGGGAGU
This 1865-nucleotide long non-coding RNA is filed under the name Homo sapiens (human). Its description in RNAcentral is "non-protein coding lnc-RXFP4-2:3". Lineage: Eukaryota; Metazoa; Chordata; Mammalia; Primates; Hominidae. The record is from RNAcentral.